RNAcentral lists this ribosomal RNA (118 nucleotides) under Pteropus alecto (black flying fox). Lineage: Eukaryota; Metazoa; Chordata; Mammalia; Chiroptera; Pteropodidae. The record is from RNAcentral.
GUCCAUGGCCAUGCCACCCUGAACAAGCCCGAUCCCAUCUGAUCUUGGAAGCUAAGAAGGGUUGGGCCUGGUUAGUACUUGGAUGGGAGACCACCUAGGAAGACCAGAACUGUAAGCU